AUAUGCUCACCUCAGCUAUAUGUGUCCUAAAAUUGGAACAACACAGAAAAAAAUUAACAGAGCCAUGAAUAGGGAUGACAUGUAAAUUUGUAAAGCAUUUCAUGCUCUU
RNAcentral lists this small nuclear RNA (109 nucleotides) under Urocitellus parryii (Arctic ground squirrel). The record is from RNAcentral. Lineage: Eukaryota; Metazoa; Chordata; Mammalia; Rodentia; Sciuridae.